Molecule: long non-coding RNA, 364 nt
Organism: Apis dorsata (giant honeybee)
Lineage: Eukaryota; Metazoa; Arthropoda; Insecta; Hymenoptera; Apidae
Exons: 2
Source: RefSeq, a predicted model, not a curated record
UUCAAUAAUUAAAAUAGAAUUUCUAGUAUUUUUAAACUAGAAUAUUCUUAUUUCUAAUUCUAUCCGUGCAUGAUAACUUAAAAUCCAUGCAAUUUAUAUGCAUGAAAUUAGUAAUAUAUAGUAAUUUAUUCAUCGUGAAGUCGUAUGUUGUCCAGACAAGCAAUAAAAGCAAUAUUAGCAAGACAAAGGAAUGGUUAUUGAACGUGCAAGGGAAAAGCAGACAAAAGGUGAGGUAUUAAACGAGCGUUGUACACGCGUUGUUGGCAAAACGUUUCCUUUGUCUUUAAUUAAUUUCCGGUACAAGUGGAGGAAGCAUCGUGACUUCGAUUUUAUCUUAUUUACAUUAAAAAAAAAAAAAAAAAAA